Molecule: non-coding RNA, 216 nt
Organism: Pelobates cultripes (western spadefoot toad)
Lineage: Eukaryota; Metazoa; Chordata; Amphibia; Anura; Pelobatidae
Source: the annotation of a GenBank genome assembly
UAUAUAUAUAUAUAUACAUACACACACACAAAAAAAAAUCUACAAAUAAAGUGCUACAUUCAAAAGUGGUACCAAACAGUAGUAUUACGCACUUGGAUUGAUUACAGCAGCUACAUUAUUACAAACAGUAACAGUGGAGUUUAAUAACCAAACAAUAUAUUUUGGUAAGUUAGUGGUAAGCUACCAAACAAAUUGCAAAAUGUACACCAAAAUAAC